Molecule: unclassified non-coding RNA, 1209 nt
Filed under: Hevea brasiliensis (rubber tree)
Lineage: Eukaryota; Viridiplantae; Streptophyta; Magnoliopsida; Malpighiales; Euphorbiaceae
Source: RNAcentral
UAGGAAAUUGAAUUAAUGAAUGAAUACAAAAACCUGGAUUGAAAUAGGUUCAAGCUGCAUCAAGUACCUAGGAAAAUUUUUAGUUACUCAUAAUCUCAAAAUCCAAACUCAUUAUUCUUGAUUCAAAACCCAAACUCAUUGUAAAAUACUAGAAUAAAAGAUCUAAAUCAAGAUAAGGGAAGAAAAGAAAAACUUUGAUCGACGAAACCAAGCCCAAUCUCUUGAAUCUUGAAUCCUUCUCCCAAAGUAGCCAAAUCCUUGAGUCUUGAGUAAAUCUAGCCAAAAUUGUGUUUCUUGGAGUGUCUAAGGUUGCCAAAGUCGCUUCCUAGGUGUAAAAAGAUGUAUUUAUAUUAGAGGAGGCGUCUAGAAUGGUGAGAGUUUAAGUUUGUUUCUAAAUCCUAUCAAAAUAGGCAAGGGAUCGUGCAAAUCACCAUCUGUACAGUCAGGCCGUGCACUUCACUGCCUCACUUGAAAGCUUAAAUUUUUCUCAGCUAUUUCGGUUCCACAUGGCCUAGGCAUGAACUUGGCCAUUUUCCACUGCCUAGCCAUGCACUCCACUGUCUAAAUUGCUCCCCAUUGUGCCAAAAUGCUCCAAUUAUAACUUCAAUUCCAAAAUUGAAUGUCUAUGGCACCUAAAACCAUCAAACACAAAAAAUCAGAGUGAAAACACAAGAAACACAAUUAAGACUCAAUUUAGCACUAAAUAUCAAUAAAAGCACUAUAAAAACCCAAAGAAAAUUACACCAAAUUUAAUAUAAAAAUGCAACACAUCACCUUGCGAAGCUAAUAAUGACUCCAAUAAUCUAAAGCUUGAACUUUUUAUUGAAUAAGACAAUGGACGUCCCUUGUUGACUAAGAACAACAUCAACUCAACACUAAAAGCACUAAUCAACCUCAAAACAUUAUGUUAAAAUUGGGGAGGGCAGAACUGGAGCUUUAGUCAUCUGUUCCUUGGUAUGUUCAGAGUUAUUAUGUUGAUUCUAUCCAAGUGAACAAUCCUUCUAUUGAACAAUCAAUGAUAGGGGCAAUGGGCUGCUAGAAUUCUCAAUUAUAUUGAAUUGUAUCCACUCUGAUUUUUAUAUUAGAAAUAACAUACCAGAAUUUUAGGUUAGCAUGACAUGAAGCUUCUUCUCCUUUAUGUUUGGAACACUAUUCUCAAAUGCUCCAUAUUCUAGUCAACCAUUCUGCUGUAAAUCAAAAUAUCAUCAA